Molecule: ribosomal RNA, 497 nt
Filed under: uncultured bacterium
Lineage: Bacteria
Description: partial 16S ribosomal RNA
Rfam family: Bacterial small subunit ribosomal RNA
Source: RNAcentral
GAUGAACGCUGGCGGCGUGCCUAAUACAUGCAAGUCGAGCGAACAGAUGAGGAGCUUGCUCCUCUGACGUUAGCGGCGGACGGGUGAGUAACACGUGGAUAACCUACCUAUAAGACUGGGAUAACUUCGGGAAACCGGAGCUAAUACCGGAUAAUAUAUUGAACCGCAUGGUUCAAUAGUGAAAGACGGUUUUGCUGUCACUUAUAGAUGGAUCCGCGCCGCAUUAGCUAGUUGGUAAGGUAACGGCUUACCAAGGCAACGAUGCGUAGCCGACCUGAGAGGGUGAUCGGCCACACUGGAACUGAGACACGGUCCAGACUCCUACGGGAGGCAGCAGUAGGGAAUCUUCCGCAAUGGGCGAAAGCUUGACGGAGCAACGCCGCGUGAGUGAUGAAGGUCUUCGGAUCGUAAAACUCUGUUAUUAGGGAACAACAAAUGUGUAAGUAACUAUGCACGUCUUGACGGUACCUAAUCAGAAAGCCACGGCUAACUACGUG